GACGAACGCUGGCGGCGUGCUUAACACAUGCAAGUCGAACGGAAAGGCCCUGCCUUUGUGGGGUGCUCGAGUGGCGAACGGGUGAGUAACACGUGAGUUACCUGCCCUUGACCUUGGGAUAACUUCAGGAAACUGGGGCUAAUACCGGAUAGGAGCUCCUGCUGCUUGGUGGGGGUUGGAAAGUUUCGGCGGUUGGGGAUGGACUCGCGGCCUAUCAGCUUGUUGGUGGGGUAGUGGCUUACCAAGGCUUUGACGGGUAGCCGGCCUGAGAGGGUGACCGGCCACAUUGGGACUGAGAUACGGCCCAGACUCCUACGGGAGGCAGCAGUGGGGAAUAUUGCACAAUGGGCGGAAGCCUGAUGCAGCAACGCCGCGUGCGGGAUGACGGCCUUCGGGUUGUAAACCGCUUUCGCCUGUGACGAAGCGUGAGUGACGGUAAUGGGUAAAGAAGCACCGGCUAGCUACGUG
RNAcentral lists this ribosomal RNA (468 nucleotides) under uncultured bacterium. RNAcentral's name for it is "partial 16S ribosomal RNA". It matches the Rfam family "Bacterial small subunit ribosomal RNA", at positions 28 to 507 of the family's 1533-position model. The record is from RNAcentral.